UACGGAGGGUGCAAGCGUUGUCCGGAUUUAUUGGGUUUAAAGGGUGCGUAGGCGGCCUUUUAAGUCAGCGGUGAAAGACCCCGGCUCAACCGGGGCAGUGCCGUUGAUACUGGGAGGCUUGAGUGUUGGAGGGGUACAUGGAAUUGACGGUGUAGCGGUGAAAUGCAUAGAUACCGUCAGGAACACCGAUAGCGAAGGCAUUGUACUGGCCAACAACUGACGCUGAGGCACGAAAGCAUGGGGAGCGAACAGG
This 253-nucleotide ribosomal RNA is filed under the name uncultured bacterium. Its description in RNAcentral is "partial 16S ribosomal RNA". It matches the Rfam family "Bacterial small subunit ribosomal RNA", at positions 524 to 776 of the family's 1533-position model. The record is from RNAcentral.